This 101-nucleotide microRNA precursor is filed under the name Olea europaea subsp. europaea. Lineage: Eukaryota; Viridiplantae; Streptophyta; Magnoliopsida; Lamiales; Oleaceae. The record is from RNAcentral.
GGGCAGAAGAUGGAGAGGCCGGGCACACGCUGAAUUCUCAGAACAGAAAUAUACUCCAAGCAAUGUAGGUAGCAUGUGUCUUGCUUCUCCAGCUUCACUUA